Molecule: transfer RNA, 79 nt
Filed under: compost metagenome
Description: tRNA-Met
Rfam family: tRNA
About the family: Transfer RNA (tRNA) molecules are approximately 80 nucleotides in length. Their secondary structure includes four short double-helical elements and three loops (D, anti-codon, and T loops).
Source: RNAcentral
GGCGUUGUAGCUCAGUUGGUCAGAGCGGGGUCCUCAUAAGACUCGUCAGUCGUGAGUUCGAAUCUCACCUCCGCCACCA